UUAAACUACAACAGUUUACAAUAUAUGAAAACCAUAAUUGUUGCAAACUUAAGCUUUUUUCAUAUAACAUGAUGAAUCUCAUUUAAAAAUGAAACCCAUAACACACUUGUAGGUCCGACCCUCAAAGGAAGCCGAAGAAGCAAUGGCUUCCGACCUUUAUAAAUAUUAGGUUCGGUCAUCAAUGUACAAAGGUAUCAGUUAGCUUAGUGGUAUAAAUGUUGGUGUUUAUAUCUCAAUAACCCGGGUUCGAGACAUGAGAUUUUUUUUUUGGUUCUUGCACUAAACCGGAACAAAGUUGUAUCUAACAAAAAAAAUUAAUGACACAUUUUUCUCUCAUCCUUUUUCUCUCUCGUUUAAAAAUUAAAGAAAAGUUCAGCUCCGGCGGCGAAUGAACAUGCAUACCGGGACUGGAGGCGACUUCUCGUCUCCUACUCCGCACGUUUGUCGUUUGCUUCUCCAUGGUUUCUUGUUCCUCACUGUCUUCUUCCGAUUCUGUCUCGAAAAGAGUCUCUGGUUUAGAUCUUGCUUACAUAGAGAUUCGAUGCCGAGAAGCUCUCCGAUCGUGGUUGGGGUCUUGCCACAGAGAGGAGUGGUUGCUAUCGGCGUGCGUUGCCUUUUUAGGGUUUCACAAGGAGGUUUUCCUUUUCGCUCCUUGCAGAGUCGACGGUUGAUGCGAUGGUUAAGCUCUGUUUCUAAAUUGUGGUGGUGGAUUUACAGAUCUGCUUUCUUUGGUUGUGAAUGGAGUGAUGUCGGUGCUGGUUUAUCCAUGGUGUCGUGGAGAGUUUCGAUCAGUGUGUUGACGGCUGAGGGCUUUCGAGGGUCCUUUGCUCGAAGACUUGCUUAGUCAAUGGAACAAGUGUGUGUCGGGUCCGGUGGUGGUGUCUUGUGGAAGCCUGUCGUGUCACGACUCACAGCUCGAAGACUUGCUUAGUCAAUGGAACAAGCGUGUGUCGGGUCCGCUGGUGGUAUCUUGUGGAAGCCUGUCAUGUCACGACUCACAUUCGUCAUCCAUGGCUUCUUCAGUGUGGUGCGUGCGAUUUCCUCUUCAUCUGAUUUUCCUCUUCCCGAUACUUGUGACUGGUUCAUCAUUGAAGCGUUGUCGGCGGGUGUCCCUAGUCCUUCAACUUGUGCGAUUUAUUAGAUAGUGACAUCAGUCGGAGAGGACCAUAUAUCAGUGCCGUAAGCCUGCGUUUGUUAGCUCAUGGUGAUGUUCCUUUCUAACACCAUUUUUAAGGUCGUAGAGCUUUUUCGGGGAUAAGUGCAGCCGUCAAUUCGUUCCCAAAUUUUUUUCAUUCCAUAAUUGCUGGAGGUUAUCAUCCGACUUCCAUUAGUGCGGGUUAGGCGAUGAAGGCGGGAUUGUACAGUCAAAUGUUUUCACAAUCUUCGGGUUUACGUCUUUCCAUGUCUCUUUUUUAUUUCGUCUGUGUUUCAAUGUUAGUAAUGGCUACAAGCUUAGCUAACUCUAGGAGACAACACGGGAAGUUCCUGCAUAUGAGUCAACGAGGUCAAUCUCACUUUCUUGUGAUCAUCGUCGAAAGUGUAGAACGGCAAUCGGAUAUUAGAUCCAAACUACUGGAACAAAGUGAUGGAUUGAGCGAAGAUAGUUUUAGAAAAUAAUUUAAAUUGGUUGAUUUUGUGUAAUUUGAUUUGUAAUCGACUCUUUAUUCCUCAAUUCUUUUGGUUGUUGGUGUUUAACAAAAA
Long non-coding RNA from Brassica napus (rape), 1701 nucleotides. RefSeq lists it as uncharacterized. Lineage: Eukaryota; Viridiplantae; Streptophyta; Magnoliopsida; Brassicales; Brassicaceae. The record is from RefSeq and is a predicted model, not a curated record. The transcript is spliced from 2 exons.